CAUGCAAGUCGAACGGAAACCUUCGGGUUUUAGUGGCGAACGGGUGAGUAACACGUAAGCAACCUACCCUAAAGACGAGGAUAACCAUUGGAAACAGUGGCUAAGACUGGAUAGGAAGAUAAAAGGCAUCUUGUAUCUUUUAAAAGACCUAGUUAAUAGGUAUGCUUUAGGAGGGGCUUGCGCCAUAUUAGUUAGUUGGUAGGGUAAUGGCCUACCAAGACGAUGAUGUGUAGCUGGACUGAGAGGUUGAACAGCCACAUUGGGACUGAGACACGGCCCAAACUCCUACGGGAGGCAGCAGUAGGGAAUUUUCGGCAAUGGAGGAAACUCUGACCGAGCAACGCCGCGUGAAUGACGAAGUACUUCGGUAUGUAAAGUUCUUUUAUCGAGGAAGAAAAGCAAAUGGCGAACCAUUUGUUUGCCGGUACUUGAUGAAUAAGCCCCGGCUAAUUAUGUGCCAGCAGCCGCGGUAAGACAUAAGGGGCAAGUGUUAUCCGGAAUUAUUGGGCGUAAAGGGUGCGUAGGCGGUCUAGUAAGUCAGUGGUGUAAUGGCAACGCUUAACGUUGUCCGGCUAUUGAAACUGCUAAACUUGAGUUAGAUAGAGGCGAGUGGAAUUCCAUGUGUAGCGGUAAAAUGCGUAAAUAUAUGGAGGAACACCAGAGGCGUAGGCGGCUCGCUGGGUCUUAACUGACGCUGAGGCACGAAAGCGUGGGGAGCAAACAGGAUUAGAUACCCUGGUAGUCCACGCCGUAAACGAUGAGUACUAAGUGUCGGGUUAAACCGGUACUGAAGUUAACACAUUAAGUACUCCGCCUGAGUAGUACGUACGCAGGUAUGAAACUUAAAGGAAUUGACGGGACUCCGCACAAGCGGUGGAUCAUGUUGUUUAAUUCGAAGAUACCCGAAAAACCUUACCAGGUCUUGACAUGUUUUUGCAAAAUGAUAGUAAUAUCGUGGAGGUUACCAGAAACACAGGUGGUGCAUGGUUGUCGUCAGCUCGUGUCGUGAGAUGUUAGGUUAAGUCCUAAAACGAGCGAAACCCUUAUCGUUAGUUGCCAGCACGUUAUGGUGGGGACUUUAACGAGACUGCCAAUGAUAAAUUGGAGGAAGGUGAGGAUCACGUCAAAUCAGCAUGCCCCUUAUGACCUGGGCUACAAACGUGAUACAAUGGCUGUUACAAAGGGUAGCUGAAACGCAAGUUCUUGGCCAAUCCCCAAAAACAGUCCCAGUCCGGAUUGAAGUCUGCAACUCGACUUCAUGAAGUUGGAAUCGCUAGUAAUCGCGAAUCAGCAUGUCGCGGUGAAUACGUUCUCGGGGUUUGUACACACCGCCCGUCAAACCACGAAAGUUGGCAAUACCCCAAAACGGUAGCCUAACUCGUUUAUUCGAGAGGGCGCCGUCUAAGGUAGGGUCGAUGAUUGGGGUUAAG
Molecule: ribosomal RNA, 1430 nt
Filed under: Cowpea phyllody phytoplasma
Lineage: Bacteria; Bacillati; Mycoplasmatota; Mollicutes; Acholeplasmatales; Acholeplasmataceae
Description: bacterial SSU rRNA
Rfam family: Bacterial small subunit ribosomal RNA
Source: RNAcentral